UUCCACCAUCAUGGACCCUAACCUUCUGAAACCAUAAGGCCAAUUAAAUACUUUCCUUUUCAGGUUGACUUGGCCAUGAUGUUCAUUACAGUGAUACAAACCCCAACUAAUAAGAUGAGGAAACUAGGAAAUGGUCUUCUAAACCUACCAGAGAGUCUAUGGGAGAUGGCUCCUGGCGCACUGACAGAAACAGAGACAAGUAAGUGAGAGUGUGCGAAAGAUCUGUGGAGAACCAGAGAUGAGAAGGAGCCUGCAAGCUCUUCAUGUUUAUAACACUGAGAGGUAAGUAGGCAAGCCUAGAGCACUGGUGAACGGUACGUCGUUUUCACUGUUACUUUGGUCACAGGGUCCCCUUUUGUGGAAGUGACAUUUUGAUGAGAAAAAAAUUAAAGUAUAAUAAGGGCAAGGGUAAAGCAUGUCGUGGUGUGGUCAGUUUUAUCUUGGAAAUGCCCUGUAGAGUUUUGGAACAUUCUGUG
RNAcentral lists this long non-coding RNA (476 nucleotides) under Rattus norvegicus (Norway rat). RNAcentral's name for it is "long non-coding RNA NONRATT032909". Lineage: Eukaryota; Metazoa; Chordata; Mammalia; Rodentia; Muridae. The record is from RNAcentral.